RNAcentral lists this ribosomal RNA (699 nucleotides) under uncultured bacterium. RNAcentral describes it as "bacterial SSU rRNA". It matches the Rfam family "Bacterial small subunit ribosomal RNA", at positions 1 to 717 of the family's 1533-position model. The record is from RNAcentral.
AGGAGUUUGAUCCUGGCUCAGGACGAACGCUGGCGGCGUGCUUAACACAUGCAAGUCGAACGAACCGAGGAGGGCUUGCUCUCCAAGGUUAGUGGCGAACGGGUGCGUAACACGUGAGAAACGUACCCACCGGUGGGGGAUAGCCGGCCCAACGGCCGGGUAAUACCGCAUGCGACGCCUUUCGGGCAUCCGGAGGGCGGGAAAGCAGCAAUGCGCCGGUGGAGCGUCUCGCGGCCUAUCAGCUUGUUGGUGAGGUAAUGGCUUACCAAGGCUACGACGGGUAGCUGGUCUGAGAGGAUGAUCAGCCACAUUGGGACUGAGACACGGCCCAGACUCCUACGGGAGGCAGCAGUGGGGAAUAUUGCGCAAUGGCCGAAAGGCUGACGCAGCGACGCCGCGUGCGGGAUGAAGGCCUUCGGGUCGUAAACCGCUGUCAGGAGGGACGAAACUCUGACGGUACCUCCAGAGGAAGCACCGGCUAACUCCGUGCCAGCAGCCGCGGUAAUACGGAGGGUGCGAGCGUUGUCCGGAAUCACUGGGCGUAAAGGGCGCGUAGGCGGCUCAGUAAGUAGGGGGUGAAAUCUCACGGCUCAACCGUGAAACGGCCUCCUAAACUGCUGGGCUUGAGCACGGUAGAGGCAGAUGGAAUUCCCGGUGUAGCGGUGGAAUGCGUAGAUAUCGGGAAGAACACCAGUGGCG